Molecule: small nuclear RNA, 22 nt
Filed under: Arabidopsis thaliana (thale cress)
Lineage: Eukaryota; Viridiplantae; Streptophyta; Magnoliopsida; Brassicales; Brassicaceae
Description: snRNA_11197
Source: RNAcentral
GCACGCGCCUAACGGCGUGCCU